This is a long non-coding RNA of Daphnia pulex (common water flea), 286 nucleotides long. RefSeq lists it as uncharacterized. The transcript is spliced from 3 exons. The record is from RefSeq and is a predicted model, not a curated record. NCBI's taxonomy places the organism in Eukaryota, Metazoa, Arthropoda, Branchiopoda, Diplostraca, Daphniidae.
AACCCCCAAACUUCGUUCCACAGAUAAAGACCACUUGUGGACGUUGUGGUUGCUUCGUUCGUUCGCAAUUUCGGCAUUUUGGUGAUUUCGAUGAUCACGCCGGCGUCUGUCUAUGGGGUUCUGUCGUCUGUGCAAUUCAGUUUUCAAGAAAAGUUGAACAACCAUUCACCAUGAUUUGAAAUAAAAAAUCGCGAUGGAAGCCUACCUUUCCUGACGACAAGGAUUUUUUUGGAUUGAAGUUGCGAUAACUCUAACGAGGGUUAUCGCAAAAAAACAAAAAACAAAA